RNAcentral lists this ribosomal RNA (406 nucleotides) under uncultured bacterium. RNAcentral's name for it is "partial 16S ribosomal RNA". It matches the Rfam family "Bacterial small subunit ribosomal RNA", at positions 30 to 526 of the family's 1533-position model. The record is from RNAcentral.
AUUGAACGCUGGCGGCAGGCCUAACACAUUCAAGUCGAGCGGAGCGGCGGACGGGUGAGUAAUGCCUAGGAAUCUGCCUGGUCGUGGGGGAUAACGUCCGGAAACGGGCGCUAAUACCGCAUACUAUCAGAUGAGCCUAGGUCGGAUUAGCUAGUUGGUGGGGUAAAGGCCUACCAAGGCGACGAUCCGUAACUGGUCUGAGAGGAUGAUCAGUCACACUGGAACUGAGACACGGUCCAGACUCCUACGUGAGGCAGCAGGGGGGAAUAUUGGACAAGGGGCGAAAGCCUGAUCCAGCCAUGCCGCGUGUGUGAAGAAGGCCUUAGGGUUGUAAAGUACUUUCAGCGGGGAGGCGUUACCCGCAGAAGAAGCACCGGCUAACUCCGUGCCAGAGCCGCGGUAAUUC